This is a non-coding RNA of Clostridiales bacterium 45_37, 101 nucleotides long. The record is from Rfam. Lineage: Bacteria; Bacillati; Bacillota; Clostridia; Eubacteriales.
ACAAUGAUACUCCCGUCCAGUCACAGUCCGAGCGUGAUAAAACCGUCGCAGGCAAUGAGGGCGGCUCUGUCAGAACGACAGUUGGGGUGAAACUCCCGUGG